AGAGGCUAAGUAAACUGCCUGAUGCCACACAGCAACAUGCAGUGAUGAAUAUGAGUUUCAAACUUGGAUUUGUCUGGCUCCAAAAUCUCUGUCUUCUAUAACAGUAAAACAAAGGAGGAGAAGAACGAGAGGUGGUACGCCUAGAUGGCCAGGUGAAAAUGGAGCACUGCCAAGCAAGCCCCAAGGAAAUGUGCAACCUCCACAGGAUGUUUUAUUAUUGGCUUGGGAGGAAGUGAUGAGAAAUUGAAGUACAGAGAUGUUUUUUUGUACUAUGUGACUAUGGCCAUCCCAGUGCUGGUAAUGAUGGGGUGAAGGUGUAUUCUCAACAGGUAGACUCCAGGGCCUGCCCCACUUCUGUGGAAGUGAUCCUGGCACAGUGAAGCCAUACGAACUGGCAGAGGCUUCGGAUCAGCCAUACCACAAAGGAUGUUGCUUUUCCUAGCAGGGGCCCUAGGGAAUUUUCUGAAAGAACCAGGACUUGACACUGAUAUAGGGAAGUUUUGUAUACCCUGAGGUCUUAUCAGUAAGAGAAAUAACUAAAUAGGGCUGAAUAAAGUGAUCGCAUUGGUCCUCUUCUACUCCA
RNAcentral lists this long non-coding RNA (583 nucleotides) under Bos indicus x Bos taurus (hybrid cattle). Its description in RNAcentral is "lncRNA (ENSBIXG00005017812.1)". Lineage: Eukaryota; Metazoa; Chordata; Mammalia; Artiodactyla; Bovidae. The record is from RNAcentral.